Molecule: transfer RNA, 88 nt
Filed under: Parvibaculum sp.
Lineage: Bacteria; Pseudomonadati; Pseudomonadota; Alphaproteobacteria; Hyphomicrobiales; Parvibaculaceae
Description: tRNA-Leu
Rfam family: tRNA
About the family: Transfer RNA (tRNA) molecules are approximately 80 nucleotides in length. Their secondary structure includes four short double-helical elements and three loops (D, anti-codon, and T loops).
Source: RNAcentral
GCGGGCGUGGUGAAACUGGCAAACACGAGGGACUUAAAAUUCCUUGCCGAUCAACGGCUUGCGGGUUCGACCCCCGCCGCCCGCACCA